GGGAGAGAGGAGAGUACAAAAAGAGCAGAAGUCUUUCUUGACCAAGAGAGAAUGCAAAAUUCCUCUUCUUGAUUGUCGUUGAUCCCAACAUCUAGCUCCUUUUAUUUUCUCUGAUUCUCGUAGAUUUGAAAUUCGGUUGAUUGCUUGUCGAAGAAGAUGUGGGCGGCUUCUUGCCUUGCGUCUUGCUGUGCAGCCUGCGCUUGUGAUGCGUGCCGCACGGUGGUUUCAGGGAUAAGCAGGCGAUCCGCUAGGAUUGCAUACUGUGGUCUCUUUGCUCUGUCUCUGAUUGUUUCAUGGAUUCUCCGUGAGGUCGCUGCUCCUCUCAUGGAGAAGCUACCCUGGAUCAAUCACUUUCAUAAGACACCCGAUAGGGAAUGGUUUGAAACUGAUGCAGUGCUGCGUGUUAGCUUGGGAAAUUUUCUGUUCUUCACUAUUCUAGCUGUUCUGAUGGUUGGUGUUAAAAAUCAGAAGGAUCCUCGUGACAGUUUGCACCAUGGUGGAUGGAUGAUGAAGGUUAUUUGUUGGUGCAUUUUGGUAAUCUUUAUGUUUUUCCUUCCAAAUGAGAUCGUCAGCUUUUAUGAAUCAAUAUCCAAAUUUGGCUCAGGAUUGUUUCUUCUUGUUCAAGUUGUACUUUUGUUGGAUUUUGUUCAUGGAUGGAAUGACAAAUGGGUUGGAUAUGACGAACAAUUCUGGUAUAUUGCUCUGUUUGUUGUCUCACUUGUCUGUUAUUUGGCAACAUUUGUCUUCUCGGGAUUUCUUUUCCAUUGGUUCUCACCAUCUGGACAGGACUGUGGGUUAAACAUCUUCUUUAUUGUUAUGACCUUGAUUUUCGUGUUUGUUUUUGCUAUUGUCGCCCUCCACCCUGCUGUAAGUUUAUACUUUCGUAUUCCAGUAUAUUUAAUAAAUAUGAUCGUUAAUCAUUUUGUAUACCUCUUAAACAUUUCCAUGAAAGAAGAAACUUCAUUGUAGGAUACACUCAAUGCCACCAUGGAAUUGUAUCUAUAUGUUGUUUUGUGAUAUGUUUUGAUUAGUGUAUGUUUAGUGUCAACGAGGUUGAUGCAAAUCAGAGCUGUUCUGUUGGAGAAUAGGAAAAUUUUCAGAAAAUAUCAAACACUUUCUGCUUUCAUGGAAACAAUUGCCAAGGAUUACAAUUGGUUAUGCAUCAACAUUUCCAUUGUUAAGUUAACCUGUGAUUAUAUGUGUCAGAAAGAUUAUCUCAUGCAUAUAUCCUUAUUUGCAUAUUUGGCAAAUUUGAAUUUAUUGUUGUUAAUAGCACUAAUUUUUUCAUUGAAUUUAUUGUUGUUUACAUAGGGAACUUAAGUGCACCACUGUACCCUUUGCUCAUUCUUGUUAUGAGGAAUGCUAUGAUUUCUAAGUUUGUGCUUUUUUUUUCCCGUUCUAUUUGUACCCAAAACAAAGUGCUUAGCUGUGCCUUUUUUCAAUUCUUGGUAUGAGAAUUUGUCAUUUGCCAUUUGUAAUCUCAUGGACCAUCUUUUUGGUGGAAAACAGGUAAGUGGUAGCAUUUUGCCAGCUUCAGUUAUAUCCUUUUACUGCAUUUACCUGUGCUACAGUGGACUUGCCAGUGAACCAAGGGAAUAUGAAUGCAAUGGUCUUCACAAACAUUCAAAAGCUGUUUCCACUGGUACCCUCACCAUCGGCCUUUUUACAACUGUUCUAUCAGUUGUCUAUUCUGCUGUACGUGCUGGGUCCUCCACAACUCUUCUCUCCCCACCAAGCUCACCCCGUGCAGGUAACAUUGGAAAUUUGAUUGGACAAAAUCUUUUGUUGCCUGAACUAUCUGUGCUUUGUCUUAAAUUUCUGCCAACAAGAUGAGAAAAUGGAACAAUACAGUUUUCUAUACUUGUUUGUGAGAGGAAACAGAUACUUACCACUAACACCCUGUUUGAAUUGAGUGCAGUGUGGUUUAUAUCAUAUGAUACGGUUUUUCUUGUUAAUAUAUUUGAAAAGAUGGUAUGAUAUUGUUAGAAAUCUAGGAGCCCAAAGCGCCUAAGGAGAAUUUUUUUUGAUAGGCCUUAUGAAAGUAUACACUCAUGGGCUCAAUACUACAUCUAACUCAAAACCUUAAGGUAAUGGGUUUAUAGGUCGUUCCCACUUAUAUGUCACUUACUCAUCCCAUCUUUUUUCGAUGUGAGAAUUCUACAUUUGCAUAUUCCCAAUAAUCUCUCCCUCAAGUGUGAAUUUCUUCUACAUUUGGCUUAUUGGGCCUAUUUCCCCUCAAACGAAAGUCUUUUUUUAUUAACUCAAUUAUUACGAUGUCACUAAAAGGCCUAAUUACUCCACUAAACCCACUCGAGCAUGUACCUCUAAGAGCCAUGCCAGAGCCAUCACGUGUACUAAGAGUCACUACUCCAUCGGUUUGUUCUUCUCCAAAAAAGUACCUUCCUGCUCCAUUAGGUCUACCAGGAGUCUCCCGACUCUUCCAAUCCACGUGUCAGAGUAUCAUGGGAAUCAUCGACAAACGUUUUCAUACUCGUCCUUACCAAAUCAUAGGCUCUUAUACGACUUGUUGUGCACUGCGGAAGCGUUUAAACUAUAAAAAAAUAAAACAAACACAUAAAAUAACAAUAUUACGUGAUUCACUUUCUCAAUAUAGGACUACAUUUAGGGCAUGUCAUCUUUCACUAUCAAUAAUAAUAAAUCAUCAAU
Molecule: unclassified non-coding RNA, 2667 nt
Filed under: Hevea brasiliensis (rubber tree)
Lineage: Eukaryota; Viridiplantae; Streptophyta; Magnoliopsida; Malpighiales; Euphorbiaceae
Source: RNAcentral